CUCUCUCUCUCUCUGGAUAUAUGAGCACUUAGCCAAGUUGAUGAUUUUUUACAACACCAUCGUACUAUAUAGUUAAGAGUCUCGGUUUAUAACGCGUUCAUAUUAAACAUGAUUUGCCAGAUCAUACCACGAACGGGGUGGACUAGCCUUCUGAUGAAUGUGUGAUUAUAUUCUCCCUAUUUCUUCCUCCCCCCCCCCCCCACCCCCAAAAGCGAUUCACUUACCCUGGCGGUGGUCCUCCGCUCCACUCGACACACACACAUCUACACACACAGGAAAUCGGUCUCAUCUAAAGGAAAAUCUGAAAUCAACAUUUUAUCUGCACAAGAUAAAGGCACACACAUAUAGGGCUCAGAGCUCAGGAGCCCUGAGUCUGGACGAAGAAGGGGGAAAAAGGGGGUAUCAGGACAAGAAAUCCUGUUUCCAGCUGUGGUAUGAGGUCUGGCGUGGAAAGGAGCAAAAUAUUCUACUCAUCCCCAAGACUAGGAUUCACCCCUCCUCCCUUUCUCUCUUGUUUUGACUUACGUAUGUUUAUAGUAGGAGCAACUGGCUCACAACUAGAGCCAUUGCCGAGAGUGCGUUUAAAGGGUGGCUGCUUUACUCCACUAUAAUUCAGUUCCCGCAUGUGAGCCUCAGCCCCGCGUCACCUGGAUACUGCAGACAAACAGCGUUAAAUAUGCAUAAGGAACAGUUCAUUUCUUAAAGGAGAACUUACCCGGACAGAAAGUUCGCGGCCCAACAGUAGGAGCACAGACGUGGACAUGACUUGUCCCUCCCUGUCAUUCUCUGAGGGAGGCCAUGCUUCCUCACUGCCAAGUACCUGUAAAGAUUUCAUGUCUUGUGGAAUAGGCCCUCACUUUACAGCUAACAUGGUGGAAAGCAAAUGAGAGUAUCUGAGAGAAAAAGAGACAAAGAGAUUUUUGGUUUAAGCAGAACACAUCUGAAUUGCGGAUGUACUAUUAUCAGUAUUAAGCUCUGAGUAUUAAAAUGCUGAUUGUUCCAGUCCUCAUUACCUUAUUUUACCUCUGCCUUUUCCCCAUUGCAUGCUUUGCUUUACCUCCAUUGUCUGUCUGCUUAACUUGUAAAAUGCUAAAAGAAGUUUUGAUAUUUACCUGUUUAUGAUUAAAUUGCAAAAUGA
Molecule: long non-coding RNA, 1138 nt
Organism: Caretta caretta (loggerhead turtle)
Lineage: Eukaryota; Metazoa; Chordata; Testudines; Cheloniidae
Source: RefSeq, a predicted model, not a curated record